RNAcentral lists this small RNA (787 nucleotides) under Histoplasma capsulatum. RNAcentral describes it as "hypothetical RNA". RNAcentral also lists the same sequence under 1 other name. Lineage: Eukaryota; Fungi; Ascomycota; Eurotiomycetes; Onygenales; Ajellomycetaceae. The record is from RNAcentral.
CCCCUACAUUGAUACCCCGCGGACCGAAAUUGAUGCGAACGCGACCUAUUUAACCAAUGGUUUCCGGAGCGCUGCACGCAAUAAUUUGUCGGCUUUGGACUCUGUUGAAAACUCAUUUCAGUCUCCUUCUAAAGAUCAUGAUUUACUCAAAGGCUUCGAAACUGGGCGAAGUCGAAGGCGCUCUGGAUUUAGUUUAAAAACUCCGAGAGCGGGCUCAGGACGGAAUCCAACAAGAAAUGUUUUCCAUGACCGGCGCAAUCUUCCAACCGUCCCACCUCCAAAGGGAGAAUUUACUCCGAUGCUGAACAGCGUCACCAGGAAUAAGUUGACUCGACAUGACUAUUCGACGCGUCGACGCUCUGGUCCGGAAACGCCAGCUGCCCUGAGAAAUGGAUAUCAAGGUAACCGUAAUACCCCGGGAUUGCCGAAAAUGGAUGUGACUGGAUAUGGAGAUGACUCCACAAACCUUGAUGGUGACCCUACACCGGUUCCGCGAAUAGCUAGCAGCAGCACUCAAAGCACCCCUCUCCCUUCACUGCCAGGGAGGAAUGGCAAUGUCGUCGGGGAUGGGCAUAACGUGAUGACAUUAAGAGAACAAGAAAAGGUUAUUGAUAAACUCGAUAAGGAAAAUUUCGGCCUAAAAUUAAAAAUACAUUUUUUAGAGCAAAACUUCAAGUUGUCGAAACCCGAAUUUGCCCAAGCUGCGAUACAAGAAAACACCGAACUCAAAGUCACAAAACUGACGAUGGAGCGUGAUUUACACCAAUGCAAGAAAAGUCUUCGGCGC